AUACGGGAGGCAGCAGUGAGGAAUAUUGGUCAAUGGACGAGAGUCUGAACCAGCCAAGUAGCGUGCAGGAUGACGGCCCUAUGGGUUGUAAACUGCUUUUAUAAGGGAAUAAAGUGAGUCUCGUGAGACUUUUUGCAUGUACCUUAUGAAUAAGGACCGGCUAAUUCCGUGCCAGCAGCCGCGGUAAUACGGAAGGUCCGGGCGUUAUCCGGAUUUAUUGGGUUUAAAGGGAGCGUAGGCCGGAGAUUAAGCGUGUUGUGAAAUGUAGACGCUCAACGUCUGCACUGCAGCGCGAACUGGUUUCCUUGAGUACGCACAAAGUGGGCGGAAUUCGUGGUGUAGCGGUGAAAUGCUUAGAUAUCACGAAGAACUCCGAUUGCGAAGGCAGCUCACUGGAGCGCAACUGACGCUGAAGCUCGAAAGUGCGGGUAUCGAACAGGAUUAGAUACCCCUGGUAGUCCGCACGGUAAACGAUGGAUGCCCGCUGUUGGUCUGAAUAGGUCAGCGGCCAAGCGAAAGCAUUAAGCAUCCCACCUGGGGAG
RNAcentral lists this ribosomal RNA (542 nucleotides) under uncultured bacterium. Its description in RNAcentral is "bacterial SSU rRNA". It matches the Rfam family "Bacterial small subunit ribosomal RNA", at positions 339 to 880 of the family's 1533-position model. The record is from RNAcentral.